GGGGGUAAAUUAAUAAUAUAAUAAUAAUAAAAUAAUUUUUAAAUAAUAUAAAUAUUUUGGGGGUUAAAGUAUUAAUUAUUGAAAAAAUAAAAAAAUUUAUAGAGAAAUAGUAUUGUGGAAGAAAUUUGAAAUAGAAGUGAAAAUUAAAUAAAAUUAAAGUAAAUUUAAUUUAUUGUAUCUUGUGUAUCAGAGUUUAUUAAUAAAAUAUUAUAUUUUAAUAUUCUCGAAUUAAAAAGGGAAAAUUAGUUAAGAAAGUUAUUGUAGCAAAAAUAUUUUACAUAAUUAAUUUGAAAUGAAAUGUUAAUCGUUUUUUAAGAUAUCUAGUUUUUUUAGAAAAAAAUUUAAUUUUAAAUUUAUUUAAUAUAAAAAUUAAAUAAUUAAUUUUUAUAAUAGUGAAUUUUAAUAUUUUAAGGGAUAAGCUUUAAAAUAAAAAAUUAUAAUAAAUUUAUUAAAAUAAUUAAAAUUUUAAAAUUUAAAUUGUUUAAAAAUUUUAGUUUAUUAUAAAUAAUUUAAGUUAAAAAUAAAAUUUAAUGAAAAAUUUAAUUUUGUAUAAAAAUAUAUAAUUUAAUAAAAAAAUUAUAGAAAUAAUGAUAAAAUUAGUAUAUAAAUAAAAUAAUAAAGUAAAAUUUAAGAAAUGUAAUGGAAAGGAAUUCGGCAAAAUUUUAUAUUCACUUGUUUAUCAAAAACAUGUCUUUUUGAAGAAUAAUUUAAAGUCGGGUCUGCCCACUGAUAGAUAUUAAAGGGCUGCAGUAUUUUGACUGUACAAAGGUAGCAUAAUCAUUAGUCUCUUAAUUGGUGACUUGUAUGAAUGAUCUGAUGAGAUAUAAACUGUCUCUUUAUUAUUUAUAAAAUUUAAUUUUUUAAUUAAAAAGUUAAAAUGAAUUUAAAAGACGAGAAGACCCUAUAGAGUUUUAUAAAUUUAUUUAUAAAUGUAUAUUUAUAAAUAUAGGUAUAUAAAUAAAUAAAUUUAUUUUGUUGGGGUGAUAGAAAAAUAAAAUUAACUUUUUUUUAAUUUAAACAUUAAUAAGUGAAUAAAUGAUCCAGAAAUUUUGAUUAGAAGAUAAAAUUACCUUAGGGAUAACAGCGUAAUUUUUUUUUUUAGUUCAAAUAAGAAAAAGAGUUUGCGACCUCGAUGUUGGAUUAAGAUAAAAUUUAAAUGCAAAAGUUUAAAAUUUUGAUCUGUUCGAUCAUUAAAAUCUUACAUGAUCUGAGUUCAAACCGGUGUGAGCCAGGUUGGUUUCUAUCUUUAAAUAAUAAAAAUAUUUUAGUACGAAAGGAUCAAAUAUUUAAAUUAAAUUUAUUUGUUAUAUAUAUAUAUAUAUAUAUAAAAGAAUAUUAUUAAUUUAAUUUAAAAAUUAUAAAUA
Amyelois transitella is the source of this 1364-nucleotide non-coding RNA. The record is from the annotation of a RefSeq genome assembly. Lineage: Eukaryota; Metazoa; Arthropoda; Insecta; Lepidoptera; Pyralidae.